Long non-coding RNA from Equus caballus (horse), 2705 nucleotides. The record is from Ensembl. Lineage: Eukaryota; Metazoa; Chordata; Mammalia; Perissodactyla; Equidae.
GUGAGAACAUUUAAAUUGACCUGGAGGAAAUAGGGAAGGUCUUAUAGAGAAGAACAUAUUUCAGCUGGGUCUUGGAAUUUGCCACAGAAAGAAGAUAUGGGUAGAAAAAGGUCAAGGGUCACGUGAGUUGAGUUAAAUUGAGAAGCAUAUUGGGUUAAGAGAAAUUCCCAGGAGAAUAAGUUAAGAAAAUCUUAUAUCAGUGCCAGGAGAGGUCACAUUAAUAGGAACGAUGGACCCUAGAGUCAAAGAGAGGUGGGGUUGGGGAGGAUGCAAAGAUAAGGAUAAGACUCGUGACUUCUUAUCCUUAGUCAGAGUGUAGAGGACAGCAAGCCAGGUGGUCCUUGCAAGCUGUUUUGGCCGUCAGAGCCCAUCUCAUCUGUUCUUGAAGCGUCAGUGGUGAGAUAUUGGAUGUGACAUCUUACUGGAACAGUAGGAUGAAUUCUGAUUUCAUGUACCUUCGCCCAACUUUGAGCUCUCCGGCUGCACUUGGAGGCUCAGGCUUCCAAGAUACAGGAAAUAUAGACGAGCACAUUUUCAAAGUUCUCACAACACGGAGAGAGCCGACUCAGCAGUCAUCCAGGGUCCAACUCACUCUGAAUGGGCAAUUUUCCCAGGCCCUGAAGCGACAUCUGGAAUUGGACAUAAAAGCUCAGCCUCCUCUGACAGGAUUCCAGGAGAUAAGGCUGGAAACUCUCCCCUCUAGUCAGAGUUGGGAUCAUCCACCACCACAGUCCACCCCUGGUGCCUUCGUCUUGGAAAGACAGUGGAAAUCACCUAUGGCGUUUCCCAGAGCAGAGGAUGACUGUGAUGGCUGGUCCUGGAAGAGCAGAGAGCCAGAGGCCCAGGGGUGAGAAGGCAUAGCUUUCCUGUUCUUCUCCCUGCUCUUUGCGUGGCUGGUUCCUUCUCAUCUUUCAGCUGUCAGCUUUGAUCUCACCUUCUCCAAGAGGACACGUAGGAUCCCUCCUUCUAAAUGUCAGAGCUGGUAUUAUCUACUUCCAGUCGUUUUCCAACUCUCUUUCUUGGACCUCAAGGGACCAUAGACGACAAAAUGGGAGCCCAAAGGACAGUGCUUCAGCCAUAAUGCCACCUAAUCAUCAACCAGAACAGGUCUUAAUUUAUAUUUUUAUAUUAAAAAAUCGUUUGGAAAAAUAAUUAUGCUAUUUAGAAAAAAAAUAUUUUGGCAUUUUGCAGGAGAGCAAUCUUAGGCUCAAAGAAGAUGUAAAUCUUUGAAGAUCACGUAGUUGGUUUUAAUAUCAAAGUGAAGUUUAGAUUACAUGUCUCCUAACUUUCAAAUCAGUGCUUAUUCCAAAUAUCACAAAAGUUUAUUUUUUUAUAUUUAAAUCUUGUAUGAAAUGUUAAAAUUGGCUUUUCAUGGCAUCUGCAAGCUAUAGCACGUCAUGUUAUACUACAACUCUACAAAGACCCAUCUUUGACCAAUUGAAGUAGGCUUCUUGGAAAAGACCUGAAAUCAUACAGUAUUUUGAUGGUAAUCAAUUCAGGCCUGUCCUGUUGCUGAAUGAAUAUGUUCAGUCCUCUCAUUUUCCAAGGAAUGACUACAGAAAUCCCCCUUUCUCUUGGUCAUUGUUUUUAGCACGUUGUAUACUUGUUUGAUUUGUGAUAUCCCAAGCAAAAAGGCAGGCUGAGGCUUCUGCCUAGGCUGUUCUGAUUGGUUGGUUGCUUUGAGACAUCAUAAAGAAAGCCCUAAGGACCAAGUCAGAUCAUAGCAUGUUUGACUUAAUUCAAAAUGCCAUCGUUAUUACAUUUAGUUAUUCUUUUCAUUGAGGUAUAAUACAAAAACAAGAAAGUGCACCCAUUUAAGUGUAUAGCUCAUUGAAUGUGUUCAUAUCAAUGCAAUCAUACAACCUCAACUCAGGUCAAACUAAGAUCAUCUCCAGCACCUAGAAGGCUCCUCUGUGCUACUGCAUAGUCAACAACGGCCCUCUGCCAAGCAAAAGCCAAUAGUAUGAUUCUAUCAUCAUGGAUUUGUUUUGCCUGUUCUUAAACAUCAUAUUAAUGAAAUCAAGCAAUAUAUAUUCUGCUGUGUCUUUUUUCAUUCAUCAUUAUAACUGUGAGAUUCAUCCAUGCCAUUGCAUGUAUCAAGAGUUUGUCUCUUUCUAUUGCUCAGUAGAUAAGAUUACAGUGAAUGAUUUAAUCACAAUUUGCUUGUCCAUCUUCCUGUUGAUGGGCAUUUGGGUUGUUUCCAGAUUUGGGCUAUAAUGAAUAAAGUUGCUUUGAACAUUCUUGCCUGACUUUUGGUGGACUUAUGCACUCAUUUUUUCUUGAGACUAUCCUAGGAGUGAAAUUAAUGGGUCAUGGGUUAAGCAACUGUUUGAUCUUAAUAGAUAUUAUUAGUUUUCCAAAGUAUUUUAAUCAAUUCACAAUGUAUGAUAAUUCCAGUUGCUUCCCAUGCUCUUCAAUAUGUGUUUUUCUUCUUUACUGUAGUUUUGAUUUCCAUUUCUUUAAUGACUAAUGGUUCGAGUUCCUUUGCAUAUGCUUAUUGACAUUUUAGAUAUCUCUUUUGAUAAGUGACUGUUAAAUUAUUUUGUUCAUUUAUUAAUUGGGCAUUUGGUCUUUUUCUUAUGAUUUGUAGGUGUUCUUUGUAUAUUAUUUUAUAUAUGUAUUUAUUUAUUUUUCUAGCUUUAUCGAGAUAUAAUUGACAAAUAACAUUGUAUAAGCUUAAGAUGUGCAAUACGAUGAUUUGAUAC